GCAAAUUGACACCGUAACUUCGGGAGAAGGUGUGCCGCUGGCGGUUAGUGACUUCGCGUCACGAAGCUGUUGGUGGUCGCAGUGAAAUGGCGGUUGUGACUGUUUACUAAAAACACAGGACUCUGCGAAGUCGUAAGACGACGUAUAGGGUCUGAUGCCUGCCCGGUGCUGGAAGGUUAAGGGGAUAUGUCAGCGCAAGCGAAGCAUUGAACCGAAGCCCCAGUAAACGGCGGCCGUAACGAUAACGGUCCUAAGGUAGCGAAAUUCCUUGUCGGGUAAGUUCCGACCUGCACGAGGGCAUAACAACAUCCGCACUGUCUCGACCAGGGACUCAGCGAAAUUACAUUGGGGGUGAAGAUGCCCUCUACCCGCGGAAAGACGGAAAGACCCCAUGAACCUUUACUGCAACUUGGCAGUGAUUUUCGGGUUGUUCUGCGUAGGAUAGGUGGGAGGCUUUGAAGCCGGGCUUCCGGGUUCGGCAGAGCCAACGUUGAAAUACCACCCUGAAUAAUCUGGAAAUCUAACCUGCGCCCAUGAUCUGGGCGAGGGACACUGCCUGGUGGGCAGUUUGACUGGGGCGGCCGCCUCCUAAAUUGUAACGGAGGCGUGCGACGGUUCCCUCAGGCUGAUUGGAAACCAGCCGUAGAGUGCAAACGCAUAAGGGAGCUUUACUGCGAGACUGACAAGUCGACCAGUUGCGAAAGCAGGUGUUAGUGAUCCGGUGGUACCACAUGGAAGGGCCAUCGCUCAUCGGAUAAAAGGUACUCUGGAUAACAGGCUGAUCGCGCCUGAGAGUUCACAUCGGCGGCGCGGUUUGGCACCUCGAUGUCGGCUCGUCGCAUCCUGGGGCUGGAGCAGGUCCCAAGGGUUUGGCUGUUCGCCAAUUAAAGCGGUACGCGAGCUGGGUUUAAAACGUCGUGAGACAGUUUGGUCCCUAUCUUCCGUGGGCGCAGGACACUUGAGAGGAGCUAUCCAUAGUACGAGAGGACCUGGAUGGACGAACCUCUGGUGCUCCGGUUGUCACGCCAGUGGCAUAGCCGGGUAGCCAUGUUCGGAACAGAUAACCGCUGAAGGCAUAUAAGCGGGAAGCUGGCCUCAAGACUAGGUGUCCCUGACGCAAGUCACUAAAGGCCCCUCGAAGACUACGAGGUUGAUAGGCUCGGUGUGGAAGCACAGCGAUGUGCGGAGCUAACGAGUACUAAUAGGCCGUGCGGCUUGACCCC
RNAcentral lists this ribosomal RNA (1223 nucleotides) under metagenome. RNAcentral's name for it is "bacterial LSU rRNA". It matches the Rfam family "Bacterial large subunit ribosomal RNA", at positions 1717 to 2925 of the family's 2925-position model. The record is from RNAcentral.